This 433-nucleotide ribosomal RNA is filed under the name uncultured bacterium. Its description in RNAcentral is "partial 16S ribosomal RNA". It matches the Rfam family "Bacterial small subunit ribosomal RNA", at positions 29 to 507 of the family's 1533-position model. The record is from RNAcentral.
AGCGAACGCUGGCGGCAGGCCUAACACAUGCAAGUCGAACGGAUCCUUCGGGAUUAGUGGCGGACGGGGGAGUAACACGUGGGAACGUGCACUUUGGUUCGGAACAACUCAGGGAAACGUGGGCUAAUACAGGAUGUGUCCUGCGGGUGAAAGAUUUAUCGCCAUUGGAGCGGCCCGCGUCUGAUUAGCUAGUUGGUGAGGUAACGGCCCACCAAGGCGACGAUCAGUAGCUGGUCUGAGAGGAUGAUCAGCCACACUGGGACUGAGACACGGCCCAGACUCCUACGGGAGGCAGCAGUGGGGAAUCUUGCGCAAUGGGCGAAAGCCUGACGCAGCCAUGCCGCGUGAAUGAUGAAGGUCUUAGGAUUGUAAAAUUCUUUCAGCGGGGACGAUAAUGACGGUACCCGCAGAAGAAGCUCCGGCUAACUUCGUG